CCUACGGGGGGCAGCAGUGGGGAAUAUUGCACAAUGGGCGCAAGCCUGAUGCAGCAACGCCGCGUGAGGGAUGACGGCCUUCGGGUUGUAAACCUCUUUUAGCAGGGAAGAAGCGAAAGUGACGGUACCUGCAGAAAAAGCGCCGGCUAACUACGUGCCAGCAGCCGCGGUAAUACGUAGGGCGCAAGCGUUGUCCGGAAUUAUUGGGCGUAAAGAGCUCGUAGGCGGUCUGUCGCGUCUGCUGUGAAAUCCCGAGGCUCAACCUCGGGCUUGCAGUGGGUACGGGCAGACUAGAGUGCGGUAGGGGAGAAUGGAAUUCCUGGUGUAGCGGUGGAAUGCGCAGAUAUCAGGAGGAACACCGAUGGCGAAGGCAGUUCUCUGGGCCGUAACUGACGCUGAGGAGCGAAAGCGUGGGGAGCGAACAGGAUUAGAUACCCCGGUAGUC
Molecule: ribosomal RNA, 445 nt
Filed under: uncultured bacterium
Lineage: Bacteria
Description: bacterial SSU rRNA
Rfam family: Bacterial small subunit ribosomal RNA
Source: RNAcentral